This 253-nucleotide ribosomal RNA is filed under the name uncultured bacterium. Its description in RNAcentral is "partial 16S ribosomal RNA". It matches the Rfam family "Bacterial small subunit ribosomal RNA", at positions 81 to 334 of the family's 1533-position model. The record is from RNAcentral.
UAUUUUGGUGGCGACCGGCGCACGGGUGAGUAACGCGUAUGCAACCUACCCUGUACAGGGGGAUAGCCCGGAGAAAUUCGGAUUAAUACCCCAUAAAUAUAUUUGAAGGCAUCUUCAGAUAUUUAAAGUUUCGACGGUACGGGAUGGGCAUGCGUAACAUUAGCUAGUUGGUAAGGUAACGGCUUACCAAGGCUACGAUGUUUAGGGGUCCUGAGAGGGUGAUCCCCCACACUGGUACUGAGACACGGACCAG